This is a long non-coding RNA of Leopardus geoffroyi (Geoffroy's cat), 2812 nucleotides long. RefSeq lists it as uncharacterized. The record is from RefSeq and is a predicted model, not a curated record. The transcript is spliced from 6 exons. NCBI's taxonomy places the organism in Eukaryota, Metazoa, Chordata, Mammalia, Carnivora, Felidae.
GAAUGCCCACUGUGUGUCAACCUUGUGCUAAGCAUUGUUGGGGAGACAGAGAUGAGAGUAGCAUCAUUUUCCCCAGGAGGCUGUUGGUGGAACAAGAGUGUGUCCUUAGAGGACGGAUUCUCUCUACUUCAUUCACCAAUGUAUCCGGAUCACCUAGAAGAGUGAGCUGGCCCUUAGAAGAUGUUGGAUUGACAUUUUUUUUUUUUUUUGUCUUAUGCAGAACAGAAGCCCUGUGAGACCUAUAGAGCUUUAGCUGAAGCUACCAGCAACCCCUCCAUGGUGUGGCAUUGAAUUUUGAGGCCCACGCUGUUUCCAUCAUGGGGAAGCCUCAUCUUCAGGCAGAGACCUGGAAGCAGUGACAAGAGUGACUGGGUGUCGUCUGGCUUUUUGAAGGAAUAAGAGGUACUUGGAAACGAAAGCUGAAUAAGACCUUGACACCACCCUUGAAAAGUUUGUAGUCCAGUGGCAGACACAAAAUUAGAAUUAUAAACCAAGAAAUGCUGUGAAGUGAUAGAAAUUUGUACAAAUAACGUGGGGCCACAGCAGAAGAGGUGGCGAAGUCUACCGAGAGGAGAGAGGUAUCCGAAGACUUCGUGGAAGAGAGAGAACAUUAACUGAAUACCUCAGAGGCUGAAGCAAAGAAACAAAGAGAACACUAGUCUUCUUUGUCAAUCUGGCUCUGAAUGCGAACACCGUUUUGAACUUGGAGGACUCAUGGGAAGUUGGUUUGAUGGUUGGAGGCUUGUUUUUAGAACUCAUUCUUUGCUGCUUCUUUCUAUACUUUGUUUUGUUUUUGUUUCUGGUUUUUAGUAAAGCCUAUACCCGCAAUCACAACAAUCUCACAAAGGACUAAAUCAGAGACCAGAGUCCGAAUGCCCAGUCACGUUGCUCCCUCUACCACUCGGUGGAUUUCUUCUAGAUUCUAUAUUCUGAUGUCAGCCAUCUCCCGCCCUUCUUUUCUUUCCUCACGGGCCCUGCCUUAGGUUUAUACUUUUGCAAUAGAUCCUUAAAUGUUCUCCCUGCCUCCAGAUUCUUACAUUGCACACAGGUCAAAUGUCAAAACGGGGCUUCUUGGAUAAAAGCAGCCCACGGUGCCUUUCCUUUUUCUUUUCUGUCCAAAACACUUUUUAGAAUAAGAUGUCUGGAUAGAAAAAUUAGAUGUGUUUACGUAAAAAUACCCAUUCCUGGUUUCUCUUGAAAACUCAGUUGAUCUGGACCACACUAGUUCAGCCAGAGCAACGGGUGGACGAAACCCAAUAGAGGUCCUCUCUUCUCGCUCAGGCGUCAGACGUCUCUCCAGUUUGUCAUCACCUCUCUUCCUCGCUGUGGUUCUAUACCUUUCCUUUUUUUACCUGCCUGAAUCUGGGGUGCAUUUGAAUUCCAAACAGAAAUCUGAUCAUGUGACACUCUUAUUUAAAAAACCUGCACCUGUUGGUCUGGCAGAUGAAGUUCAAACUCUUCACCGUAGCACAGAAAGGACUUCUUCACCUGGUCUCAUGCUCUCUGUGGAUGUCCUUUGUGACUCAUGCCCUUCUCAGAAGUCAUGCUGAAUGGCUGCGCCGUGUUGUAUGUCUGUGUCUUCUUCUGUCUACUGUGAUUUCUUCCUUUCAGGUGGGAUGCCAUUUCUUUUCUUCUGCAGCUGGUGUACAUUUAUUCUUUAUCCUCUGUCCAAAUAUAAAUCCUCUAACUUCUGCUUUCUCAUCACCUGCUUCUCCACUUCCUCAGCAUCUCGGGCUCGCCUCUGUUAGGACCCUUUGCCAGCAGUGUCUGGUGAAUUCUCUCUCCUUCUCCAGACUGCACACCCUCCGGGAUUCUGAACCAUCUUCGUCUUUGGAGGCCUAGUGUGGGAUAGCUUAUAAAGUUGAUUCACUGACUGCUGGUUUAAAAUGGUGUCUGUGAACAGCCUCUGGUACAGCUUUCUCCGUAAUGUGCAGUAAAAUACCAAAGAAGGCUUAGAAGAAGAUAUAAACUCAAAAUACAGCCAUAAACUUGGACUGACAAUCAACUAAAGGCUGGAUCGGGGAGGUAGCAGAACCUGUCGGAAGGUUUGAUGGGAUAACAUGGCAGCUCAGGAGGAAGCAGAUCACCCUGAGAUCUGGGGAGUACUUCCAUUAAUAACUGAGGAAACAAAAAGCUAGAGGGGUGACAAGGUCAGGGUGAUCUUGAUGGGAAAUGAAGAGGCCAACCCUUGCACUGAAGGGCCUCUGACACCACCUCGUAUUCCACUCCUCCCUACGAGUACAGAGGCAUCUUGGUGCCUUUCGGAUGGAAAUUGUCAAGUAACUGGAUUCGUAGGAUCAGCUGUAGUUUCUGGAUAGAGAAAUUUGACGCAGCGGGGUGGGAUAUCAGGCUCUGUGCCCCAUGGGCCUGAGGUCUAUUUACUGCGACUGAUGCCAACUCUUACAAAGAGGAGGCUGAGGAAGUUUUCAACCUCGUGGAUCCCAGUAACUAGCCUCAGCCAUGUUAGUCACUCUGCUAGUGGCUGCCAGAUCACGCACAGAUGCCACCUGCUGGGAAGAUCCCACUCCAAGACUGAGACCUGCUUCAGAACCUAGCGUGAGAAUUGUCAAUACCUACAACUUGGAAAUGCUGGGACAGGCAGAGCUGUAAUUAAAGUAGGUAGAGCGAGAAGAGUUCUUGUUUUACUCAGGAGGAAAUUGAGACUUACAAAGGCUUUGGAGACUUAACUUGAGAGGCAAAGGCAAGAAGAUCUGAUUUCUCUCUGCAUUUUGAUAACUAUCAUCUUCUCUUUUUUCUUUUCUUUUUUUUUCUUUUCUUUUCUUUUCUUUUCUUUUCUUUUCUUUUCUUUUCU